UGGAAACGACUGCUAAUACCCCAUAAGCCGAGAGGUAAAAGGAGCGAUCCGGCAGAGGAGGUACUCGCGUCCUAUCAGCUAGUAGGUGAGGUAACGGCUCACCUAGGCGAAGACGGGUAGCCGGCCUGAGAGGGCGAACGGCCACACUGGAACUGAGAUACGGUCCAGACUCCUACGGGAGGCAGCAGUGGGGAAUUUUGGGCAAUGGGGGCAACCCUGACCCAGCGACGCCGCGUGGGUGAAGAAAUCCCUCGGGAUGUAAAGCCCUGUUGUAUGGGAAGAGCAGAAGACGGUACCAUACGAGGAAGCCCCGGCAAACUACGUGCCAGCAGCCGCGGUAAUACGUAGGGGGCAAGCGUUGUCCGGAAUUACUGGGCGUAAAGCGCACGCAGGCUGAAUUAUAAGUCGGUAGUCAAAUACGGAGGCUCAACUUCCGGAUAUCUAUCGAUACUGU
Molecule: ribosomal RNA, 454 nt
Filed under: uncultured Synergistaceae bacterium
Lineage: Bacteria; Thermotogati; Synergistota; Synergistia; Synergistales; Synergistaceae
Description: bacterial SSU rRNA
Rfam family: Bacterial small subunit ribosomal RNA
Source: RNAcentral